GAGCUCUGAAGUGUGGGUGCUGGAAGGCCUGGGGAAAAAUGGGGGGACGGGACAGGUUUUUUCUGUCCCCCCCCAAGCCAUUUUUCGGGGGAGGGGGUGGCUUUGGGGGGAAACAGAAAAAAACCUGGUCCCCCCCCCCAAUUUUUCCGGUUUUUUUCCAGGCCUUCCCAUCUCUAGUUCUGUGCUU
Podarcis lilfordi (Lilford's wall lizard) is the source of this 187-nucleotide non-coding RNA. The record is from the annotation of a GenBank genome assembly. NCBI's taxonomy places the organism in Eukaryota, Metazoa, Chordata, Lepidosauria, Squamata, Lacertidae.